RNAcentral lists this unclassified non-coding RNA (202 nucleotides) under Hevea brasiliensis (rubber tree). The record is from RNAcentral. Lineage: Eukaryota; Viridiplantae; Streptophyta; Magnoliopsida; Malpighiales; Euphorbiaceae.
UGCUUAAAAUAAUUAUCAUAAGCAUAGCACUAGAAUAAGCUGUUUAGUUGUUUUUCCAUUCUCUUGUUGCAAAGGCUAAAGAUUGAAAAAUGUAUUCAGAUUUUUCAGUUCAAAAGUUACGUUACCAUCAUUUCUCAUUUCUCAUAUCCUUGGUUGUUUGACUAAUUGGAUUAUAGAGUUAGGUUUGCAUAAUAAUAGUUUG